Molecule: ribosomal RNA, 408 nt
Filed under: uncultured bacterium
Lineage: Bacteria
Description: bacterial SSU rRNA
Rfam family: Bacterial small subunit ribosomal RNA
Source: RNAcentral
UGGGGAAUAUUGGACAAUGGGCGAAAGCCUGAUCCAGCAACGCCGCGUGAGGGAUGACGGCCUUCGGGUUGUAAACCUCUUUCAGCGGGGACGAAGCGAAAGUGACGGUACCCGCAGAAGAAGCACCGGCCAACUACGUGCCAGCAGCCGCGGUAACACGUAGGGUGCAAGCGUUGUCCGGAAUUAUUGGGCGUAAAGGGCUCGUAGGCGGUCCGUCACGUCGGGAGUGAAAACUCGGGGCUCAACCCCGAGCCUGCUUUCGAUACGGGCGGACUAGAGGUAGGUAGGGGAGAACGGAAUUCCUGGUGUAGCGGUGGAAUGCGCAGAUAUCAGGAGGAACACCGGUGGCGAAGGCGGUUCUCUGGGCCUUACCUGACGCUGAGGAGCGAAAGCGUGGGGAGCGAACAG